CUGCUAUUCCCUCCGUCCAACAAAAGAUGUCUCAAGUUUGUCAAAAUUUAGAUGUAUCUAGACAUGACUUAGUGUAUAGAUGUAUUCAAAUUUAGUCAAAGUUGAGACAUCCUUUGUUGGACGGAGGGAGUAGAAU
Molecule: non-coding RNA, 136 nt
Organism: Brachypodium distachyon (stiff brome)
Lineage: Eukaryota; Viridiplantae; Streptophyta; Magnoliopsida; Poales; Poaceae
Source: Rfam